Molecule: long non-coding RNA, 1667 nt
Filed under: Mus musculus (house mouse)
Lineage: Eukaryota; Metazoa; Chordata; Mammalia; Rodentia; Muridae
Description: predicted gene, 20149
Source: RNAcentral
ACAUCCAGAUCACUCCGCCUCUGUGUCUCUCACCCCUCAGCUACUGAAAGACUCAAGGCCACUUUCCCUAGGAAAUCACCUAGAUUGCAGCCACUAAUCUCUAGUCAUCAUCUGCUUGAAACUCCUCGCUGGGCUGACAGGAUGCUUUACGAGAAGUGUUUCCGAAAUGGUUCUCGUAGGGAGCUCCCGAGGAAGGCCUUUGACCUGGGCUAUGCUCCAAGUCUUCUCGACCCUUCUCCAGUGCAGCAAUUUCUGCUCAGGGUCUGGAGUGGUGCUCAGUGGCCGAGUCUGUCACCUCCCUCAGAAGCGUUACAGUGAUGUUAUACAGGUCAGAAGAGAUGACAGACACUAUGUAGCAGAUGAUAAAAAGUUUUCAAAUGUUUUACAGGAUUAACUGCUGUUGUUAUCAGAAAAACUCAUGAUUUUCACAAAUUCUGCCUUGUGCUAUGGAGCACCAUAGGACUUUAGUUAUUUAUUAAUGAAGAUUGAUUCGGCUUUUUGGAAUUAAUGUUAUUGGCUUAAUGAUGGCUGCCAUAAUUCAUUAACACAUUAAAUUAAAGUACUUCUAGAUGAUCUUAAGACACUUUCUGCCUCAGCUUCUCCUUUGGCAAGUACUGAUGUUGAUGAGAAUGCCCGUAUUUUAUAAAGUUAUGAUAGAAAAGUGACAUCCCUUACAGGAAACACCUUACACAGUGCCUGGUACACAGAAAGUACCCAGGAUGUUGGAGGACAGUGUUCAAGUAAAUACUGCUCAUCAGAACAGCCAACAAGAAGAAAGUUACAGUGUUAAUCAUCACAUCAGACCUAGGAGACCAGACCAAAGCAUCUCUGAAGCGUCAUCAGAUCCGAAGCAUCAUCGGAGAAGCUCGUACUUGCAGUUGGUGGCUGUGGUGACAAGUGAGAAUGGCCCCCACAGACUUACUUGUUUGAAUACUUGGUUUCCAGUUGGUGGAAUUGUUCGGGAUGUAUUAGGAGUUGUCUCAAGAUGUGAACUCUCUACUACUGCUCCAGCGCCAUGCCUGUCUGCUGCCAUGUUCCUACCGUGAUGGUCAUGGACUCUAACUGUGCUCAGCCCUAGAGUGGGGGUGGGGGAGGGGGAUGGUUACUUUGGAGAACUGGCAUUCUGUAUUCCUCUCACUAGGACACGAGGAUGCCGACACUCCCAGCAAACCUUCCUGUUGGGAAGAGAACACUCACACGACCCAUAGAGAGCAGUAACUGAAACAGGAGCACGCUAUUUCCAUAAUGGAGAGGUCUGAUGUCCACUUCCUUCAUCAAAGGCUAAACUUACCAGCAGCAGCAGUGGGAUACCCUGACAACACAUGACACUUGAUAAGAUGUAUACAAGUGAUUAUCACUCAUAGUAUGGCCACAAGUUUUGCCUGAACGAAACCACGAUGAAAUAGAUAAAUUUAAAACACUGACAUUGUAUAAGACAAUUAGCCCAAGCACUUUUCUUUCUAGGUUAACUGAAACUUGACACUAAUACAACUGCUACAAAUAAUAUGACCACCAAUGAAAAUAUGAAUCUUGACCGGGUGCUAGAGAUACAAAGCUUGCUUAAGGCAUUUUUGGCAUAAUUAGGGAUAUCUAAAUGUGAGCAUUCAUUAGAUGGUUUUCCUAUUACCUUUGUGACUUUUCAUAUAUGAUAAAGUAUAUUUACAUAG